Homo sapiens (human) is the source of this 435-nucleotide non-coding RNA. The record is from RefSeq and is a predicted model, not a curated record. NCBI's taxonomy places the organism in Eukaryota, Metazoa, Chordata, Mammalia, Primates, Hominidae.
GAACACCCCUAUAGUGCAAAGAAAAAAGGGAAAUCAAACUUCAUCUUUUUUUCCAAGAUUGUCCUCUGCAAAGAACCUUCAUUUCAGAAACCCAGAAGUUUUCAAAACAACUGUGGGAAAGAGAGAUGAAUUUGCAGGCCUUCUGAACUCUACCCACAAACUCUCAAGAGAACCCACCCGCUGCAGCCUGUGGCUCCCAACUGUCCUGCCUACGCCCAACAGGGAACUGGGGAUCCGUAUUCCAGGGAACCCUCUGGAAACGUCACACUCAGUUAGCAGAUUCUUGAGGGCGGUAACUAUAGUUUUCAGAUCUUUGUGUCCUCUGUACCUGGACCAGGUAGAGACUUGAUAAAUAUCUGUAGUUGUUAAAUAAAUGAAAUGUUUAUCUUUGCUGAUCUCUUAAAAAUAAAUCAGUUUUACCUACUUGCCAUGCAA